GAUGAACGAACGCUGGCGGCGUGCCUAACACAUGCAAGUCGAACGGUAAACAGGGACUUCGGUCCGCUGACGAGUGGCGCACGGGUGAGUAACGCGUGGAAUACCUGCCUAUCAGUGUGGAACAACCUGGAGAAAUCCAAGCUAAUACCGCAUACGACCUUCGGGUGAAAGAGGGGGAUCUUCGGACCUCUCGCUGAUGGAUGGUUCCGCGUCUGAUUAGCUAGUUGGUAAGGUAACGGCUUACCAAGGCGAUGAUCAGUAACUGGUCUGAGAGGAUGAUCAGUCACACUGGAACUGAGACACGGUCCAGACUCCUACGGGAGGCAGCAGUGGGGAAUUUUGCACAAUGGGCGAAAGCCUGAUGCAGCGACGCCGCGUGCGGGAAGAAGGCCUUCGGGUUGUAAACCGCUUUCAACAGGGAAGAAGGAAUGAGGGUUAAUACCCCUCUGCCUUGACGGUACCUGUAGAAGAAGCCCCGGCUAAUUUCGUGCCAGCAGCCGCGGUAAUACGAAAGGGGCAAGCGUUGUUCGGAUUUACUGGGCGUAAAGAGAUCGUAGGUGGCUUGUUAAGUCGGAUGUGAAAUCCCGGGGCUCAACCCCGGAACUGCAUUCGAUACUGGCAGGCUUGAGUUCGGGAGGGGUAAGCGGAAUUCCGUGUGUAGCAGUGAAAUGCGUAGAUAUACGGAGGAACACCUGAGGCGAAGGCGGCUUACUGGACCGAUACUGACACUGAGGAUCGAAAGCGUGGGUAGCAAACAGGAUUAGAUACCCUGGUAGUCCACGCCCUAAACGAUGUCUACUAGCCGUUGCGGGUAUCGACCCCUGCAGUGGCGCAGCUAACGCAAUAAGUAGACCGCCUGGGGAGUACGGCCGCAAGCUAACUA
This 883-nucleotide ribosomal RNA is filed under the name uncultured Zetaproteobacteria bacterium. Its description in RNAcentral is "bacterial SSU rRNA". It matches the Rfam family "Bacterial small subunit ribosomal RNA", at positions 24 to 899 of the family's 1533-position model. The record is from RNAcentral. Lineage: Bacteria; Pseudomonadati; Pseudomonadota; Candidatius Mariprofundia.